AUCAAAACCACAGCAUCAGAG
RNAcentral lists this non-coding RNA (21 nucleotides) under Arabidopsis thaliana (thale cress). The record is from RNAcentral. Lineage: Eukaryota; Viridiplantae; Streptophyta; Magnoliopsida; Brassicales; Brassicaceae.